AACCUACCUCGGAUCAGACGAGACUAAACCAUAUCAGUAAGCGGAGCAAAAAGAAACAGGAAAAGAAACA
This 70-nucleotide ribosomal RNA is filed under the name Mactra antiquata. Its description in RNAcentral is "partial 28S ribosomal RNA". Lineage: Eukaryota; Metazoa; Mollusca; Bivalvia; Venerida; Mactridae. The record is from RNAcentral.